GAUGAACGCUGGCGGCGUGCCUAAUACAUGCAAGUCGAGCGAACGGACGAGAAGCUUGCUUCUCUGAUGUUAGCGGCGGACGGGUGAGUAACACGUGGAUAACCUACCUAUAAGACUGGGAUAACUUCGGGAAACCGGAGCUAAUACCGGAUAAUUUUUUGAACCGCAUGGUUCAAAAGUGAAAGACGGUCUUGCUGUCACUUAUAGAUGGAUCCGCGCUGCAUUAGCUAGUUGGUAAGGUAACGGCUUACCAAGGCAACGAUGCAUAGCCGACCUGAGAGGGUGAUCGGCCACACUGGAACUGAGACACGGUCCAGACUCCUACGGGAGGCAGCAGUAGGGAAUCUUCCGCAAUGGGCGAAGGCCUGACGGAGCAACGCCGCGUGAGUGAUGAAGGUCUUCGGAUCGUAAAACUCUGUUAUUAGGGAAGAACAUAUGUGUAAGUAACUGUGCACAUCUUGACGGUACCUAAUCAGAAAGCCACGGCUAACUACGUG
Molecule: ribosomal RNA, 497 nt
Filed under: uncultured bacterium
Lineage: Bacteria
Description: partial 16S ribosomal RNA
Rfam family: Bacterial small subunit ribosomal RNA
Source: RNAcentral